AGCGAACGCUGGCGGCAGGCCUAACACAUGCAAGUCGAACGGAUCCUUCGGGAUUAGUGGCGGACGGGUGAGUAACACGUGGGAACGUGCCCUUUGGUUCGGAACAACUCAGGGAAACUUGAGCUAAUACCGGAUGUGCCCUUCUGGGGAAAGAUUUAUCGCCAUUGGAGCGGCCCGCGUCUGAUUAGCUAGUUGGUGAGGUAACGGCCCACCAAGGCGACGAUCAGUAGCUGGUCUGAGAGGAUGAUCAGCCACACUGAGACUGAGACACGGCCCAGACUCCUACGGGAGGGAGCAGUGGGGAAUCUUGCGCAAUGGGCGAAAGCAUGACGCAGCCAUGCCGCGUGAAUGAUGAAGGUAUUAGGAUUGUAAAAUUCUUUCAGCGGGGACGAUAAUGACGGUACCCGCAGAAGAAGCUCCGGCUAACUUCGUG
RNAcentral lists this ribosomal RNA (433 nucleotides) under uncultured bacterium. RNAcentral's name for it is "partial 16S ribosomal RNA". It matches the Rfam family "Bacterial small subunit ribosomal RNA", at positions 29 to 507 of the family's 1533-position model. The record is from RNAcentral.